GGCUCAGGAUGAACGCUAGCGGCAGGCUUAACACAUGCAAGUCGAGGGGCAGCGCGGAGUAGCAAUACUCUGGCGGCGACCGGCGAAAGGGUGAGUAACGCGUGAGCAACAUGCCCGAUAGUGGAGGAUAGUCGAUGGAAACGUCGUGUAAUACUCCGUAACAUACGGGACCGCAUGAUUCUGUAUUAAUAGAUUUAUUGCUAUCGGAUUGGCUCGCGUACCAUUAGCUGGUUGGCGGGGUAACGGCCCACCAAGGCGACGAUGGUUAGGGGUUCUGAGAGGAAGGUCCCCCACAUUGGAACUGAGACACGGUCCAGACUCCUACGGGAGGCAGCAGUGAGGAAUAUUGGACAAUGGCCGGAAGGCUGAUCCAGCCAUGCCGCGUGCGGGAAGAACCGGCCCUAUGGGUUGUAAACCGCUUUUGUUGGGGAGCAAUAAGGAGCACGUGUGCUUCGAUGAGAGUACCCAGCGAAUAAGCAUCGGCUAACUCCGUGCCAGCAGCUGC
RNAcentral lists this ribosomal RNA (505 nucleotides) under uncultured bacterium. Its description in RNAcentral is "bacterial SSU rRNA". It matches the Rfam family "Bacterial small subunit ribosomal RNA", at positions 21 to 518 of the family's 1533-position model. The record is from RNAcentral.